CGGGCGUUAAGUUGCAGGGUAUAGACCCGAAACCCGGUGAUCUAGCCAUGGGCAGGUUGAAGGUUGGGUAACACUAACUGGAGGACCGAACCGACUAAUGUUGAAAAAUUAGCGGAUGACCUGUGGCUGGGGGUGAAAGGCCAAUCAAACCGGGAGAUAGCUGGUUCUCCCCGAAAGCUAUUUAGGUAGCGCCUCGUGAAUUCAUCUCCGGGGGUAGAGCACUGUUUCGGCUAGGGGGCCAUCCCGGCUUACCAACCCGAUGCAAACUGCGAAUACCGGAGAAUGUUAUCACGGGAGACACACGGCGGGUGCUAACGUCCGUCGUGAAGAGGGAAACAACCCAGACCGCCAGCUAAGGUCCCAAAGUCAUGGUUAAGUGGGAAACGAUGUGGGAAGGCCCAGACAGCCAGGAUGUUGGCUUAGAAGCAGCCAUCAUUUAAAGAAAGCGUAAUAGCUCACUGGUCGAGUCGGCCUGCGCGGAAGAUGUAACGGGGCUAAACCAUGCACCGAAGCUGCGGCAGCGACACUGUGUGUUGUUGGGUAGGGGAGCGUUCUGUAAGCCUGUGAAGGUGUGUCGUGAGGCAUGCUGGAGGUAUCAGAAGUGCGAAUGCUGACAUAAGUAACGAUAAAGCGGGUGAAAAGCCCGCUCGCCGGAAGACCAAGGGUUCCUGUCCAACGUUAAUCGGGGCAGGGUGAGUCGACCCCUAAGGCGAGGCCGAAAGGCGUAGUCGAUGGGAAACGGGUUAAUAUUCCCGUACUUGGUGUUACUGCGAAGGGGGGACGGAGAAGGCUAUGUUGGCCGGGCGACGGUUGUCCCGGUUUAAGCGUGUAGGUGUGUGUUCCAGGUAAAUCCGGUUCACUUUAACACUGAGGCGUGACGACGAGGCACUACGGUGCUGAAGCAACAAAUGCCCUGCUUCCAGGAAAAGCCUCUAAGCAUCAGGUAACAUCAAAUCGUACCCCAAACCGACACAGGUGGUCAGGUAGAGAAUACCAAGGCGCUUGAGAGAACUCGGGUGAAGGAACUAGGCAAAAUGGUGCCGUAACUUCGGGAGAAGGCACGCUGACACGUAGGUGAAGUGAUUUACUCAUGGAGCUGAAGUCAGUCGAAGAUACCAGCUGGCUGCAACUGUUUAUUAAAAACACAGCACUGUGCAAACACGAAAGUGGACGUAUACGGUGUGACGCCUGCCCGGUGCCGGAAGGUUAAUUGAUGGGGUCAGCGCAAGCGAAGCUCCUGAUCGAAGCCCCGGUAAACGGCGGCCGUAACUAUAACGGUCCUAAGGUAGCGAAAUUCCUUGUCGGGUAAGUUCCGACCUGCACGAAUGGCGUAAUGAUGGCCAGGCUGUCUCCACCCGAGACUCAGUGAAAUUGAACUCGCUGUGAAGAUGCAGUGUACCCGCGGCAAGACGGAAAGACCCCGUGAACCUUUACUAUAGCUUGACACUGAACAUUGAGCCUUGAUGUGUAGGAUAGGUGGGAGGCUUUGAAGUGUGGACGCCAGUCUGCAUGGAGCCGACCUUGAAAUACCACCCUUUAAUGUUUGAUGUUCUAACGUGGACCCGUUACCCGGGUUGCGGACAGUGUCUGGUGGGUAGUUUGACUGGGGCGGUCUCCUCCUAAAGAGUAACGGAGGAGCACGAAGGUUGGCUAAUCCUGGUCGGACAUCAGGAGGUUAGUGCAAUGGCAUAAGCCAGCUUGACUGCGAGCGUGACGGCGCGAGCAGGUGCGAAAGCAGGUCAUAGUGAUCCGGUGGUUCUGAAUGGAAGGGCCAUCGCUCAACGGAUAAAAGGUACUCCGGGGAUAACAGGCUGAUACCGCCCAAGAGUUCAUAUCGACGGCGGUGUUUGGCACCUCGAUGUCGGCUCAUCACAUCCUGGGGCUGAAGUAGGUCCCAAGGGUAUGGCUGUUCGCCAUUUAAAGUGGUACGCGAGCUGGGUUUAGAACGUCGUGAGACAGUUCGGUCCCUAUCUGCCGUGGGCGCUGGAGAACUGAGGGGGGCUGCUCCUAGUACGAGAGGACCGGAGUGGACGCAUCACUGGUGUUCGGGUUGUCAUGCCAAUGGCACUGCCCGGUAGCUAAAUGCGGAAGAGAUAAGUGCUGAAAGCAUCUAAGCACGAAACUUGCCCCGAGAUGAGUUCUCCCUGAGACUUAGAGUCUCCUGAAGGAACGUUGAAGACGACGACGU
RNAcentral lists this ribosomal RNA (2188 nucleotides) under Salmonella enterica subsp. enterica serovar Enteritidis. RNAcentral describes it as "partial 23S ribosomal RNA". It matches the Rfam family "Bacterial large subunit ribosomal RNA", at positions 689 to 2853 of the family's 2925-position model. Lineage: Bacteria; Pseudomonadati; Pseudomonadota; Gammaproteobacteria; Enterobacterales; Enterobacteriaceae. The record is from RNAcentral.